Long non-coding RNA from Pteropus alecto (black flying fox), 2107 nucleotides. RefSeq lists it as uncharacterized. Lineage: Eukaryota; Metazoa; Chordata; Mammalia; Chiroptera; Pteropodidae. The record is from RefSeq and is a predicted model, not a curated record. The transcript is spliced from 2 exons.
GUAAUGGGAUUUUUGUUGUUUGACUAUUGUCGAAAUGGACUGUAGAGUCCCACAGAAAUGAUGCUCGUUUAUGACAGGAUUUAACCUGUAAGGCACAGUAUAUUUUUUCCUCAUUCCUUUUUCUUUGUUGUUUUAAUGUAUCCUUUAGCAUAUUCAUAAAUAUAACUUUUAUCCUUCAGGUCUUCAGCCUUUUUUUUUUUUUUUUUCUUUCUCCAAAAGUUUAUGACACUAAAAGCAUAUCAUCUUCCUAAAAGCUAUUUUGGUAGUCACUCUUUUAAAAAAGUUCUCUAACUUUGUGGUUUUUAAUGAUUCAGGUGACUUUUGUGAGUUCUGCCACUCAUCUUCUAAAACCUUUAAAUAAAGUGUAAUAAUCAUGCCAAUUUAUCCUCUUAUUUUUUCAAACAUGAGCCCCAGUGUCUCAGACCAAAGAAAUAGCAAAGCAAAACUAUAAUUUAGAUCGAUAUCAAGACUAUUUCUAUGUAAUCGCUUUAUUUUGGGGUUAGGGGUCAGUUUGUAAGCAAAGAAGAAAAUAAAUAGAUUUGGCUAAAAAUGUAUACCUAUAGCACUAAAAUGUUACUUUGUUUAUAUUCUGUUCUAAUCAGAAAAAUUUUGGAAUAUUUCUUUUUAUAGACAAAUUUCUCCCUUCCAAGUGAGUAAUUCUGAAAUUUCAGAUAAACGGUUAACAAAGCUGUUGUCCCAAGUUCUGAUUUCUUGCAUCAAGCUCAGUUGCUGUGUCUGAACCUGGAUCCCUUGAGGAAGGUUUAGGAACUGUUCACACUACCUACUGCCUGUUCAGGCUCUUGUAUAGUGGCAGUUUGCAGUUUUUCUCUUUGCUCUAGAGAUAUAUCUUAAGAUUUUUCUUUCAAGAAGAGGGAUAUAGAUGUUGGGAACAGAACAAUGACUCUUUUUAUGUGCCUAUCUAGAUUGCAUCCCUGAAUUUGACCAGUUUUAAGAUUAGACCUUUAAAAGCUCAAUGUGACUCACUGCCUCUUUCUCCCUCAUUCCUCUCAUCAGCUUCCUCUCACCCACCCAAAUGAUUUUUAAUGGAUUUAGGAGACCACCAAUGAAAUGAUGGAAGGACCAAUUAAUUUCGAGUAGCAAUUGCCUACCUUUCACUUAGAAUAUAAUGGAAAAAAAAAAGUUCCUUGAUUCAGUAAAGAUAGAAAUAAGAGCAUAAACAUUCAUUUAUAGAUGAAUACAUAAAUUCAGGGGACACUUUGGAACUUACUGGAUUAUGGUGAUGGUUUUUGGAUGGUACAUGCUUCAUUAUUCCAUUUGGGACGGGUAUAUGAUGUAGUUUCUAGAUGUUACCCACUCUUUUGGUGCUAUUUCCUUUAAAUUUUCUUGUGUCUAAGAUUUACCACUAUGUCCUAAUACGUGCUACCCCACUUUCCAAUUCAACUGAACCUUGAUAAAAUGUUCAGUUAAUACUGGAAUAAAAGCUUUUCUUCCUACUCUCGGGAUCUUUAAAGGCUAUGAUUAGAAGAGACUUCAAUGAACUAAUUUUUGUUUUCCUUUUAUAGGAAAAGAAUGUUGUUAAGGGCAAGGUGUAUUUUCCUUACUCGUUUUUGAUAGUUUUAUUUUUUUAGGUAUAGAUACCCAGAUUGACAGGCCUCUGAAAUGUGAAAUUAGUGCUGAUUUCCCAAAUGUGAAUUUUUCAGUCCUACAAUCAAGAAACGAGACAUUGUGGGUUUCUUCACCUGAAUGAGGACCCUCUCUUUUGUACUUGUUUUUAUCUAAAGAGCCAUUUGAGAGAGAGAUGUUUUGAGAAAAGCUUGGAGGUGCCUGUCUGGUGAUAAAUAUCUAUUGGUGAGCUUCUGGGCAGAUAUUCCAAAGCUGCUAGAGUUGGCAUAGAAAGGACAGUAUGGUGACAAUUCACGUUUGCAGCAGCAGGAACAAAGAUCUCAGUGAAGUAAGAGCACCUGUAUCAAUUAGUGAUCAAAGGGAGAGAGGAGUACAUGAAUGUUCAUAGCAGCUUUAUUUGUAAUAUCCCUAAACUGGAAAAUAUGCAGAUUCCUUCAAGUGGGUAAAUGAUUAAACAAACUGGUACAUCCAUACAAUGGAUUAGUACUCAGCAAUUGAAAGGAAUAAACUACUUACUGAUACA